Chelonoidis abingdonii (Abingdon island giant tortoise) is the source of this 438-nucleotide non-coding RNA. The record is from RefSeq and is a predicted model, not a curated record. Lineage: Eukaryota; Metazoa; Chordata; Testudines; Testudinidae.
CAGGUGGCUGUGAUUCACUGGGAGUGUAUGCAGAGUUUCUGAAGCAAGCUCAAAGGUUACCAUUGGUCAACUCUAUUCAACCCAGAAACUUGUUAUUGAGAGUCUAGAAAACAGAGAUAAUCUGAUCAUCUAGCACCAUGGGACCAUCCUCAGCAUUCUGUAGUGCUGCACAUCCAUAGUAUAUCCAACAUAGUGUGUAUGCACCCUGCCUGAAUUUGAAAAACUUAUCCAUCUAGUAAAAGAUAAAGCUUUAGAGAUGCUCAGUUUUUGGCAACCAAAACAGUCUAGAAUUUCUCUUUUUAUGGUUCAUGCACUAAAAUGUACUGCUAAGCCUACAAUAGCAUGUAAUGUAUUCCUAAUAUCCCCAUUGCUAGUAUUUCAUGUGUAAUGAGACUGUUCCUUGGCUUUAUUUGACAAUAAAAUUCCAUGAACCAAAUA